This is a long non-coding RNA of Danaus plexippus (monarch butterfly), 2531 nucleotides long. RefSeq lists it as uncharacterized. The record is from RefSeq and is a predicted model, not a curated record. The transcript is spliced from 5 exons. NCBI's taxonomy places the organism in Eukaryota, Metazoa, Arthropoda, Insecta, Lepidoptera, Nymphalidae.
CCUGUUCCCAGCAUCAAUAAAAAACCAUCUUCUCCUUUAUCCCACAAAACAAGUGAACUUAUAUAAUAAGCCAGUAUCAUUCGAAUUCGAGCUUGAAUGUUCUGAAUUUAUUUCAGUAAUAUUAAUUUAGACAGUCACUAAUAAAAGCUUCAUAUUGCAAAUUCUCAACUUAAAAAGUCUUUCACAUAUAUAUACAUAUAUAUAUAUAAAGUACAUUUCCUGAGUCAAUGUAGAGUUAAUUAUAGAGUCGUUGUAGAGCUAUUUAUAGAGUCGCUGUAGAGCUAUUUAUAGAGUCGCUGUAGAGCUAUUUAUAGAGUCGCUGUAGAGCUAUUUAUAGAGUCGCUGUAGAGCUAUAUAUAGAGUCGCUGUAGAGCUAUAUAUAGAGUCGCUGUAGAGCUAUAUAUAGAGUCGCUGUAGAACUAUAUAUAGAAUUGCUGUAGAGCUAUAUAUAGAGUCGCUGUAGAGCUAUAUAUAGAGUCGCUGUAGAGCUAUAUAUAGAGUCGCUGUAGAGCUAUAUAUAGAGUCAAUGUAGAGCUUUUUAUAGAGUCGCUGUAGAGCUAUUCAUAGAAUCGCUGUAGAGCUAUUUAUAAAGUCGCUAUAGGGCUAUUUAUAAAAUCGCUAUAGAGCUAUUUAUAAAGUUGCUAUAGAGCUAUUUAUAAAGUCGCUAUAGAGCUAUUUAUAAACUCGCUGUGAAACUAUCAAUAGAGUAGAUGUGGAGCUAUUUAUAGAGUCGAUGUGGAGCUAUUUAUAGAGUCGGUGUAGAGCUAUUUAUAGAAUCGGUCUAGAGCUAUUUAUAGAAUCGGUGUAGAGCUAUUUAUAGAAACGGUGUAGAGCUAUUUAUAGAGUCGGUGUAGAGCUAUUUAUAAAGUCGCUAUAGAGCUAUUUAUAAAGUUGCUAUAGAGCUAUUUAUAAAGUCGCUAUAGAGCUAUUUAUAAAGUCGCUAUAGAGCUAUUUAUAAAGUCGCUAUAGAGCUAUUUAUAAAGUCGCUAUAGAGCUAUUUAUAAACUCGCUGUGAAACUAUCAAUAGAGUCGAUGUGGAGCUAUUUAUAGAGUCGGUGUAGAGCUAUUUAUAUAGUUGCUGUAGAGCUAUUUGCAGGGUUACUGUAGAAUAAUUCACAAUAGCGUUGAUAUGGUCGCAAUAUAAUCAUUGCUAUUUAAAUACAUACAAUACACACAGCAUGAGAAUUAUUCACACACCUGUAAGGCCAAUUUUUCAGUAGAAGUGCCAUCAAAAGAAGGUACACGUUUAAGCUUGCCAUCCAUAGAGGACAUUAUACUUUUCAAUAUGCCGUUUAUAUCAGCAAUUAUAUGUGAAGAAUUAACUUCACCUGCGAGCAUAGCAGCGUAUCUUUCAGUGUCUGUAGAAGAACCCGCUCCUUUUAAAUAUGAAGUGAAUAAAAUACUAUGUAUAGCUUCUAGUGGGUGUUUCACUUCUUUUUUUAAGAAAGAACUUAAUUGUUGAUUCCCACAUUUUGAGUUGAAUAAAUCAUAGACCAUUGCGCUAACCAGUCCACAAACAGUAGCAGAAUCUUUUCCUCCCGACAAAGGUAAAAAAAAUCCACGUGCGCCAGAUUUAACAAGAUAAUCCCAGAGCCAGUUACGACAACAUAUAUAUAUUUCCUUGAUAGAUUGGUUUUCCAUUGAUAUUAGUGUUCCUUGCACUUCGACUUUCUAAAAAAACAACCUAUAUUGUACGCAUUUUCGGAUUAUCUCCUUAAAGACGUUGACUUACAAGGUUUUCAAGUGUAUUAUCAAAUUCAGGUUUCUUCAAAGACACUGUACUAACUGGACUAAAAGUAUCUUUUGUACAUUGUAUGAUUAUUUCGCCAUUUUUUAUUAUGCAAGAUCCACCAGAAUAAUAGCAGGGUUUACCAGAGUCAGAGUUUAUAUAGCAUAUGCAAGCAAUAUAUAGUUUAUUGAAAGCAGAGCUUUUUUCAAGCAAAUUGUUUACAUACUGAUUAUCUUGAGGGAAAGAAUGGAAAUUAGUAACACUUGUUAUGAUAAUUCUCUCAGAAUCUUCUUCAUACUGAUUCAUAUGACAUACAUAGCAAAACUUUGAUGAUUUCACUGUCAAAUUCGUUCCAUAAGGUAUUAAGGUUUUUUGAAAAGGGCUUAAAAAUUGGUUAUGUUUUGACACUUCACUCGAGCUGUUUGGAAUUAUACAUAAGACUUGUCCAUUAUAACAAACAGCAUAACAACUAUUGAUAGUAUCAUUAGCACAUUUCAGAGGAAGUCCGAUAAACAAAAGAAUAUCAUAUGUUAAGGAAUUUGAAAUAAUUUCAUGUAAUAUUCCAAUACAUAUUUUUAUAGUAUCAUUCUCUCUUAUAUGAUUUCCGAUACCAAUACCACAUAUUUCUAAUUCUCCUCCUAUUCUAACAUGUGCUUGUUCUUUUUUUGCCCUUACAAUAGACUCUAUAAUGUUCAACUUAUUAUGUUCAAAAUUAUAGCUCCAUUGAUUUAAUUGACAUACAGAAAUCACCAUUUGUGCUAUAGGAAUUAUACCUGAGAAGAUUUAGACUAAACCUUAAUAA